This 416-nucleotide ribosomal RNA is filed under the name uncultured bacterium. Its description in RNAcentral is "bacterial SSU rRNA". It matches the Rfam family "Bacterial small subunit ribosomal RNA", at positions 146 to 572 of the family's 1533-position model. The record is from RNAcentral.
ACUUGACGAAAGUUAAGCUAAUACCGGAUAAGACCCCGUUCCACAAGGAAUGUGGUAAAAGAAGUCUCAAACUUCAUUUGAGGAUGAGUUCGCGGACCAUUAGCUUGUUGGAGGGAUAACAGCCCCCCAAGGCGACGAUGGUUAGCCGGCCUGAGAGGGUGAUCGGCCACACUGGAACUGAGACACGGUCCAGACUCCUACGGGAGGCAGCAGUGGGGAAUUUUGCGCAAUGGGCGAAAGCCUGACGCAGCAACGCCGCGUGAGGGAUGAAGGUUUUCGGAUCGUAAACCUCUGUCAAGUGGGAAGAAAAAAAUGACGGUACCACUAAAGGAAGCCCCGGCUAACUUCGUGCCAGCAGCCGCGGUAAUACGAGGGGGGCAAGCGUUGUUCGGAAUUAUUGGGCGUAAAGCGUGUGU